Molecule: ribosomal RNA, 714 nt
Filed under: uncultured Bacteroidota bacterium
Lineage: Bacteria; Pseudomonadati; Bacteroidota
Description: bacterial SSU rRNA
Rfam family: Bacterial small subunit ribosomal RNA
Source: RNAcentral
UCGAGGGGUAUAGGUUUUCGGACCUAGAGACCGGCGCACGGGUGCGUAACGCGUAUGCAAUCUACCUUUCACAGAGGGAUAGCCCAGAGAAAUUUGGAUUAAUACCUCAUAGUAUAACGACUCGGCAUCGAGAUGUUAUUAAAGUCACAACGGUGAAAGAUGAGCAUGCGUCCCAUUAGCUAGUUGGUAUGGUAACGGCAUACCAAGGCGACGAUGGGUAGGGGUCCUGAGAGGGAGAUCCCCCACACUGGUACUGAGACACGGACCAGACUCCUACGGGAGGCAGCAGUGAGGAAUAUUGGACAAUGGGCGCAAGCCUGAUCCAGCCAUGCCGCGUGCAGGAUGACGGUCCUAUGGAUUGUAAACUGCUUUUGCACAGGAAGAAACAACUCUACGUGUAGAGUCUUGACGGUACUGUGAGAAUAAGGAUCGGCUAACUCCGUGCCAGCAGCCGCGGUAAUACGGAGGAUCCAAGCGUUAUCCGGAAUCAUUGGGUUUAAAGGGUCCGUAGGCGGUCUUAUAAGUCAGUGGUGAAAUCUCCCCGCUCAACGGGGAAACGGCCAUUGAUACUGUAGGACUUGAAUUAUUAGGAAGUAACUAGAAUAUGUAGUGUAGCGGUGAAAUGCUUAGAGAUUACAUGGAAUACCAAUUGCGAAGGCAGGUUACUACUAAUGGAUUGACGCUGAUGGACGAAAGCGUGGGUAGCGAACAGGA